RNAcentral lists this long non-coding RNA (155 nucleotides) under Fukomys damarensis (Damara mole-rat). RNAcentral describes it as "lncRNA (ENSFDAG00000028939.1)". The record is from RNAcentral. Lineage: Eukaryota; Metazoa; Chordata; Mammalia; Rodentia; Bathyergidae.
GGCUGGAUUCUCGUGGGAUGGGGGUGUGCCUCUCUGCAGACAACUGGUCUGAGUUCACCAGAUCACCUCAGGGUCUGAAACAGAACUUUUUCAUGAUGCUCUGUGGGGACGGGCAUUGAGGGAACCACAGCAGCACACCAGAAGUCAAACAGGAG